CACGUAGGGUGCGAGCGUUGUCCGGAAUUAUUGGGCGUAAAGAGCUCGUAGGCGGUGUGUCGCGUCGAUCGUGAAAACUUGGGGCUUAACCCUGAGCUUGCGGUCGAUACGGGCAUCACUUGAGUUCGGCAGGGGAGACUGGAAUUCCUGGUGUAGCGGUGAAAUGCGCAGAUAUCAGGAGGAACACCGGUGGCGAAGGCGGGUCUCUGGGCCGAUACUGACGCUGAGGAGCGAAAGCGUGGGAGCGAACAGG
RNAcentral lists this ribosomal RNA (253 nucleotides) under uncultured bacterium. Its description in RNAcentral is "partial 16S ribosomal RNA". It matches the Rfam family "Bacterial small subunit ribosomal RNA", at positions 524 to 776 of the family's 1533-position model. The record is from RNAcentral.